RNAcentral lists this ribosomal RNA (944 nucleotides) under Micrococcus luteus. RNAcentral's name for it is "bacterial SSU rRNA". It matches the Rfam family "Bacterial small subunit ribosomal RNA", at positions 538 to 1481 of the family's 1533-position model. The record is from RNAcentral. Lineage: Bacteria; Bacillati; Actinomycetota; Actinomycetes; Micrococcales; Micrococcaceae.
UCGACGUNCGGAUUAUUGGGCGUAAGAGCUCGUAGGCGGUUUGUCGCGUCUGUCGUGAAAGUCCGGGGCUUAACCCCGGAUCUGCGGUGGGUACGGGCAGACUAGAGUGCAGUAGGGGAGACUGGAAUUCCUGGUGUAGCGGUGGAAUGCGCAGAUAUCAGGAGGAACACCGAUGGCGAAGGCAGGUCUCUGGGCUGUAACUGACGCUGAGGAGCGAAAGCAUGGGGAGCGAACAGGAUUAGAUACCCUGGUAGUCCAUGCCGUAAACGUUGGGCACUAGGUGUGGGGACCAUUCCACGGUUUCCGCGCCGCAGCUAACGCAUUAAGUGCCCCGCCUGGGGAGUACGGCCGCAAGGCUAAAACUCAAAGGAAUUGACGGGGGCCCGCACAAGCGGCGGAGCAUGCGGAUUAAUUCGAUGCAACGCGAAGAACCUUACCAAGGCUUGACAUGUUCUCGAUCGCCGUAGAGAUACGGUUUCCCCUUUGGGGCGGGUUCACAGGUGGUGCAUGGUUGUCGUCAGCUCGUGUCGUGAGAUGUUGGGUUAAGUCCCGCAACGAGCGCAACCCUCGUUCCAUGUUGCCAGCACGUCGUGGUGGGGACUCAUGGGAGACUGCCGGGGUCAACUCGGAGGAAGGUGAGGACGACGUCAAAUCAUCAUGCCCCUUAUGUCUUGGGCUUCACGCAUGCUACAAUGGCCGGUACAAUGGGUUGCGAUACUGUGAGGUGGAGCUAAUCCCAAAAAGCCGGUCUCAGUUCGGAUUGGGGUCUGCAACUCGACCCCAUGAAGUCGGAGUCGCUAGUAAUCGCAGAUCAGCAACGCUGCGGUGAAUACGUUCCCGGGCCUUGUACACACCGCCCGUCAGUCACGAAAGUCGGUACACCCGAAGCCGGUGGCUAACCCUUGUGGGGGAGCGUCGANUGGACAGCGAUGGACUAUCANUGG